UGGUGGACGAUGUGGCGAACGGGUGAUUUUNUAUUCUAUCGUGCCCNUCGUGGGGGAUAACGUUCCGAAAGCUAGGCUAUUACCGCAUGACGAUCUAUGGAUGAAUGNGGGGGAUCGUAAGANCUCGCGCGUUUGGAUGCGCCGACUAUCAGGAUAUGUAGUCAGGUGGGGUAAAGGCCUACCAAGCCGUANGAUCUGUACCUGGUCUGAGAAGGACGACCUAGACNCAUCGACUGGGUAUCUGACGACACGGCCCGAGAACUCCUAACGGGAGGGCAGCAGUGGUGGAAUUUUGGACAAUGGGCGCAUGUCCUGAUCCAGCAAUGCCGUCGUGCAGGAUGAAGGCCUUCGGGUUGUAAACUGCUUUUGUACGGAACGAACNCGGUCCUCUCUAAUACAGAGGGUUAUUGACGGUACCGUUAGAAUUUAGCACCGGCUAUCUACGUGCCACAGCCGCGGUAAUUCUAGGUGCGAGCGUUUAUCUGGAUUACUGGGCUGUGAAACGCGUGCCGCAGGCGGGUUUGUCNCGACGGAUGUGGACUUCCCCGGGCCUCAAGCCUGGGGACCUGGUUUUGUGGACUGGGAAGGUUGGNNUACGGU
Molecule: ribosomal RNA, 600 nt
Filed under: uncultured bacterium
Lineage: Bacteria
Description: bacterial SSU rRNA
Rfam family: Bacterial small subunit ribosomal RNA
Source: RNAcentral